AAAUCUUUGAAAAGAGAGCAUGUUUUCAGCAGGGACAGUGAAUCACUGUGAUUUGCAGAAACAGGCACAAAGCAAUUAGCCAUCUGGAUUCUGUGGCUUCCAGCUCCCCAGCGGAAACUUCAAGCAAGCGGAAGGCUGGUCAUUACACAGCCCAGACCCAGCACUCCAGGCUCCACAGAUAACUGUGCCUCCAGCCGGCUGGGAAUCCAGAGACUUGGGACAAAGGGCAACUUGGCAAGAAACAGAAAAGUGGGCAGGAAAAGCAACAACAGCCGCAGGGAGCCAGUACUACUUCCUUCUUCCUGUGAGUGUCCCUCAGAAUCCAUCAUGACUGAGUGAGUUCACUCACCUGAUAAGCAUUUGUUGAUCACCUACUGUCUCCCAUGCCUUGUUCUAAUGCAUAAAUUAUGGCAUUUAAUCCUCAUAAUAUAUAUUAGAGGAGUUCCACCCAUGGCACAAUCCCAGGGAACCAAUCACAUGAUAUCUGAUAUGAACAGCACUCCCUGGAAAUACAAAACACAGUGGACUUGCCUCAGGUAGAUUGCUAUGUUUUGUUUUGUUUUGUUUUGUUUUUAAUCAAUGAGGAAAUAAGAGAAAAAUAAGAUGACUUGAAUUUGCUCAAGGUAAGUAGCAGGACUGAGAGGAACUGAGAAUUCUGUGCCCUAACUUGUAUGAACCAUGCUUACAAAUUACUCCUAUCUGGCUCAGAAGGUUGUGAGAACUACAUAAUACUCAUGGAUGUGAAAGGGUCUUAUAAACUGUAGAGUGCCGUAGAUGGCUGAACUAUUAGAAAGCAGUUCCACCGGCUCCCACCAACUUUCUGAGACCUAAGAUACUGUUCCUUGAUUCAUUUCUAGAAACUGCUAGGGAGUAUUGAUAAACCCACACAGGAAAUGAAUUAGCAAGCCUUUCCAAGAAGAGAAAGUAAGAAAGAGUGACCAGCAGAGUUUGUUCAAGGAAGCCUGGCUGGACUGAACUGUGAUUAGAAACUAAGGAGGUCCUGGCUCUGUUCUCCCUCGGUUUCCAUGAGAAGAGGGAAGCCAGGAAGGGAGAACACCACUGAGGCUGACCAGAGCCCAGGUCUCCUUACAGAGGUGCCCAGCUCCUCUUGCCUGCUUGAGUUUACUGUGGGUUCCUUGACUAAGCCUUCCUGCUUCAUGCUUUGGGAAAGUGCCUCUCCAGAGUCUCAGUUAAGAGCUAUUUGGCCUAGUUCAGGACUCUGCAAUGGCCUAGAAGGCCCCACACUUUGACGCUAAGGCGUUGUCAUUUGCUGGUCACAUCUGCAGUCCAUCCAACUGCUGCUGGAAGGACCAGCUCUCAGAGAGAGAGAAAAUGAAAAGCAAAAGCAGAGGGGAGUGCCAAGAGGAAGGACCAGGGAGGCGGAUGAUGAAGAGUCCAGCCCUGCUUCUUCCUGGCUGUGACUUGGGCAAAGUGGCUUACCUGUCCUUGCUUUCUUCUGGUAUAACCUGGAGUUAAUGUUUCUGUCGUCCCCCAGGGCGGUGGUGAGGACCCAGGGAGCUCACAGGCCCUGGACCAGAGAGUUUAAACAAACAGGAGGGUGGGAACUGCCAGGUGCCGGGAGGCUUCCUGGCUCAGCAAUGGCUGCCGAGUGAAACACAAGCUGGAUGUUACCAAAUCUUUUUAUUUGUCCAGAAAAAUCAGAAAUCUUGAUUUGUAUGUGAACUUUUCCAAACUUCAAAACCCUGUGAGGGCAGAAGAAAACCUGUCUGCAGGUCAUCAGGUGGGGGUGUGCAUGGCCACUGGUCCCACAGGUUUUGGAGCACACGCUCCUUUUGUUGUGGGGACAAACGAGGCAAGGCACCAGAGACAGCAGGAAACAGUUUUAUUUGACUACAGUCAGGUUCAGAGGACACAGCUUUUGCUGUAAUCAAUCAAUCCCCCGAACCCCGAGUUCAGGGAGUUUCAGAGUUUUAUACCCAGCAUAUAAGGGGAGGGGCUCAGAAGUUCACAGUCUGCAGAAGUUCACAUAAAAGCAGCUUUUUCUCUCACUGUUCUGGGCAAGCUAACCCUUCAAGGACAACACCUGAGAAGGGGAGAGCUUCUUCUCUCCUUCUUUCCUCCCCCUCCAGCUGUUACCAUGGAGCCCAGUUGUAACUUAUCUUAAAAAUGUAGACAUCUCGGUGAAGCCCAGCUCAAGGCCAGAGGCCUUGUUUGCACAUUUCUACAAAGUACUAUACUGGAUAUGUUUGUGAAAGACUAGUAAGGGGGUGUCCAGCACCUGGAGCGCUGGUAUCUUCCCGGCCAGUGGCCAAGUAAACAGGUCGACAGGAAAAUAGGAAGUUUAUCUACAUUGAACUCUUUUGCAGAAACUCUUUGCUGAUAGUCCUAAAAUCAGCCAUGGUGAAGAGGGCUUUUCUGUGGAGAAAGGGGUGCCACUUCACCUUUACUGCCUGUCAUGCCCAUUUCACAUCUGGAUGGCUGGACCAUGGAGGUCCUGCCCUUCCCUGAAGGUGGCCGUUGUCACCCACACUGUAAACUGGGCAGGAGUGGGCUCAGGGCUGUCACCUGCAAGGGAGAGGAGCAAGGGCCAGGCCACAGAGGGACCAAGGAGCCUCUGGCCUCCCUCGGGCAGAGCUUAGGAGCUGGGGGGCAGCAGGAAGAUUCUCGGGGCUCUUCUCCCCAACGACCAGCAACCCCCAAAGCCCCAUUGGAAGGGACUCCCUCUAGCUGGGAGCCCGGGAGCCAGCAGCCUCCCCCCUCAGGCCUCUCCUCCGCCUCUCCCUCGCCGCCUCUCCGUGCGUCCUGCAGCAAGCGUAGCCGCAGCGUUUGCACCAGCCCUUCCCAGCCAGGCUGCGCCUUCCGGGCUCCACCAGCCUUCGCCACCCUCCGACCCCCGACCCCCCACCCUUCGCUGCGGCUUUCCCAGGCCCGCUCGUCUGGAGAGGCCUGGAGUCUUCAGAGAAGGUUCGGGAAACGCUUGCGUCGGCGCCGGCUCAUUCCCUCCUGCAUGGCUGGCCCCGUAGUGUCCCUGGGAAAGGCCCCAGAAGAAGCCCACACAACCUCUUUCUUUGCUUUGGCACUUCCCAGUGAAUCUUCCAGGUGAGGAAUUUUCCACAGCCCGUGUCCCCUCCCUGUGUCCUGCCGUAGGAUCCUGUGGCUGCAGAAGGUGGGCAGAGACCAGGGCUUGUCUCUCCCCACCUGUGCAGCCAAGCGACUUGACCUCAGCACCCGCCAAUGGACAAGGCUUGAAGUGUGCAUGGAUAUUGUGUGACCCAGGAUUUAUAUACCCAAGAGAAAUGAAAAACAUGUCCACACAGAAACUUGUACACAAAUGUUCAGAGCAGCAUUGUUUACAAUAACCAAAAUGUAGAAACAACGCAAAUGUCCAUCAACUGAUAAAUGUGAUAUAUCCAUAUACGGGACUGUUUUUCAGCCAUAAAAAAGGAAUAAAGUACUGGUACAUGCUACGUUAUGGAUGAAUCUUGAAAACAUUAUGCUAAGUGAAAUAAAGUGAGUCAUAAAAGAUGACAUAUGGUUCCAUUUAUAUGCAAUUUCCAGAAUAGGCAAAUCUAUAAAGACAGAGUAGAUUAGCAGUUGCUUAGGGCUCAGGUGGAGGGGUGUAGGAAAGUAAUAGCUAAAAGGUACAGAGUUUCUUCUGGAGGUGAUGAAAAGGUUCUAAAUGGGACUGUGGUGAUGGUCGCACAUAUUUGGGUGAGUGUAUUAAAAACCACUGGAUUAUAUAAUUUGGUGAACUAUAUGGCAUGUGACUUAUACCUCAAUCAAGCUGUUAUAAUAAUAUGUACACAUGGAGAAACAGAGAAAGUAAGAGAUAAAAUGUGGCAAAAAAUAUUAACCACUGUUGAAAUUGGGAGGAUAUUCAGAAAUUCACUGUACUAUUCUUGUAUCUGAAAUUAUUUCAAAAUUUAAAAGAUGAUAUUUAAAAAGAGAGAAACUUAGUCAUCUACCCAUCUUCCACCAGAGGCUGGUCUAUGGAGAGGUUGUGGUACAUCUCUGUAGUCUGACAGACCAGGACUCAACUUCACUGUUUACUAAUCCUAUAACCUUGACCUCUCAGUUUCCUCAUCUGUAAAAUGGUAAUAAUACCAAUAGUACAUACCUAGGAGAACUUUUGUAAGGGUUAGAGACAGUAUGCAUUAAGCUCUUAAUGUAUUUUUUAAUAGAUUUUUUUUAAAGAGAGAGAGAGAGAGAAAUUUUUAAAUAUUUAUUUUUCAUUUUUUGGUGGACACAACAUCUUUAUUUUUAUUUUAUGUGGUGCUGAGGAUCGAACCCAGUGCCCCACACAUGCCAGGCAAGCUUGUUACUGCUUGAGCCACAUCUCCUGAGUAUUUUCCACAUGUAUUUUUUUUGUACCAACCAUUCCCAACUUUUUUUUAGAUUUUGUUUUGGGAUAGGGUCUUGCUAAGUUGCUGAGGGCCUAGCUAAAUUGCUGAGGCUGGCCUUAAACUUGCAAUCCCCCUGCCUUAGCCUCCUGAGCUGCUGGGAUUACAGAUAUGCACCACUGUGCCUGGCAAAGCUCUUAAUUUUUAUGUAGUAUGUGCUCAAUAAAUCUUAGCUAUUAUUCAUAUACCAACAAUUUUUAAAUAAUGCAUUGUUUCUUAUUACAAAAGUAGUUCAUGUUCAUGAUGGAAAAUAUAUAAGCAAAGAAGUAAAAAUCAGUAACCCCUAAAAUUCUGUGAAAAAAAUCACUAAUAAACUAAUAUUUUGGGUUAUGUACAGUAUACAUAGUAUAUGUUACACAGUAUUUAGCAUAUGAACACAUUAUUUUGUAACAUAUUUUGUUUACUGUACAUAACAGGCAUCUAUUGAGUAUUUUCCACAUGUCAGACGCUAGACUUAAAGCUAAGAAUUCUGACAUGAGUAAGAUAGACACCCAACCCUUGGAAGUAAGUGAAACCUAGAAAUAAGAGACAAUUUUAUCAAAUUAUCCCCUCUAAUUAUUAUUCACCAAUAAUUAGAGGGGACAAUUUGAUAAAAGCCACCUUGGGAAAGAAGAAAAGAAGGGCCUGCCCUGCUCAAACUAAACAUAUUAGAAGCUCAGAGGCUAAAGAAAAGUUUCAGAGAAAUGAGAAAGUGCUGUUGGAGCAAAUGAAACUUUGUGGGGACCAGCCCCGCAUGUUCGUGUGCUGCUUCCACAAGUGGAUCAUGGAAGAAGAUCAUAAGGGACCUUAAAUGUCACACCAACAUUACAGUACGACACUGCCUUCAGGGGUUAAAAGAGACUUACAACCUUCGAAAUCUCUCUUAUGACAUAGUACUUAGAGUCCUAGAUAUUAGAGCCAGAAAGACUGAGUUUAAAGUCUAUCAGUGCCUCUUACCAGCUGUGUGACUUUGGGCAAAUUACUUACCCUUUCUAAAACUCAGUUUCUCAUGUGGACAAUGGAAAAAUAAGAGUCAAUUUCUAUAGAUUGCUGUGAGGAUUAAGUGAAUUUUCAGCACAUGUAGCAUACUUAAAUCAAUGUCUGAAGCAUAGCACAAGCACUUCCUACUAUUUUUCCACCUAGUACUAGGGAUUGAACCCAGCCCCUUUUCCUUCCUUCCUUCCUUCCUUCUUUCUUUCUUUUUUCCCCCUGAGACAGGGUCUAAGUUGUCCAGGUUGGCCCUGAACUUGGGAUCCUCAACCUCCCAAGUAGCUGGAAUUACAGGUGUAUGCCACCAUGCACAGCCUCAAUCCUCCUUGGUAGCAACUGAAUAUUCAAUAACUAAGCCCCAAGAAAGUGCAAUAAAGAACAACGUGGGAUACCCAGGGUCCUGGGGUAACAGGAGCAGGUCAUUUGCCAGAGCUAAAGCAGGGACUCUCCUAGGAGCCAAGCCCUGAGAAAAGAGAGGUUGAGAAAGGAGCCUUAUUACAGAUCACUUCUGGGUGCCUUGACUAACCUCUGGCCCCACCUCUGCACUCAUCCCCCAGUCCCCACCCCCAUCAGGAAGGCAUCAUCUUCCAGAGCUGGAGCUGGGCCUGCGUGGUGGCCUCCUCUCUUAGAAGAAAGCUGUGAUGGGAACCCUUUUCUUUAGGGAGGAAAUGGGCAAGGAAUGACAUUUAUGUCCCCACAUGUAUGCAAAUUAUCUGAUGAGAUAAAUGAUUUUGUAGGAAAACAUAUCCUGUUCACUCUAGAGCAUUUCCCCUGACGUCUGUAACAAGUUGGGGUGGUCAGGGUCAAAGCCACUAUUGAGGGAGUUCCUGGCCACUGGCCCCUCCCAGAGGUGUCAGAGAGGUGCUGGAAAAGGGAGGCUAUAGGUUUGGCAAUCCCAGGCAUGGCAGCUGGAAAGGGGACUGGCACAGGGCACUCGCACUCCCUCCAUCCAGUUUCUCCUAACCAACAAGGGAUGGGAAAAGCCUGGUAGAGCAGCAUCUGGGGAGCCAGGAGGCCUGGCUUCUGGGACUCACUCAGCACCUUACCCACAGUGUGACCUUGGACAUUUUCCUCUCUAGGUCUAAGUUUUUUUUCUGUCAGAUAAUUAAGUCCAUUUUGAUUAUGUCAAAUGAGAGGGUUGAAUUAUAUCAAGUGUUUUCAAUGUGGAGUACACAGACCCUCCAAUCAUAAAUGGGCUCCAGGGCAUUGGUGCCACCCUUAAGUGUAGGCAAUAUUCUGUGCAUGUGUGUUUUUUUCUGGAAAGGAGUGCAACGCUAUCUUUAGGUCACCCAGAUGAGUUUAGGUGACCUCUGUGGUCCCUUGAGUUGGGUGUUGGGUAGAUGGAAGCUUCUUGAGGGUGAUGGUGUGUCUUAUAACAUCAGUACAGCAUAGUAUGUGGCACAUAGUCGGUAUUUGAUAUUAAAUGAAUGAAGACACUCAUAAAUGCUGGAAUAUGACUACAGCGAGGGAUGGAGAUGGAUGUUGGUGCAGGGUCUCAGUGGUAGGAGUGAAAUCGCUCAGUGACAGGGCUGGUAAGGGGUUAGGUGAUGGGGAAUAAAGAGAAGGUAUAAUCUAAAAAUGCAGACUGAAAUCUGCUCUGCUUGGAGACUGCAGUUUAAGGUCAUACACCUCUCACCUUCCCCUUGGUUCCCUGUGGGAAAUUCAACUGAGUCAAACCCAGCCCAAGGUUCAGCACCUAAAUGGGUUUGGUUGUUGCAUUUAAUAUUCCAAAGUUUGUUUCUUUCUUUUCAAUGCUUGGGAUUGAACUCAGGGACUCACAUAUGCUAGGCAACAGCUGUACCACUGAGCUACAUCCCCAGCCCUAAAAUUCCCCAGUUUCUCUGACUAGAAAACCCAUCGAACUUGAAAAAUGCAGCCUGGUUUCUGGUGAUCACUGGGGCUGGUGCAAGAGCGAGAAUGAAAGCACAGAGUUAAGAACUGGAGAUGUCACUCAGUGGUAGAGCUUUUGCCUAGCAUGUGGGAGACCCUGGGUUCAACCUCUCUUCUUCCCUCAGACCACCCUUCUUCCUUUCUUGGACUCUUUACAAACCUGCCCCGCUUUCUGUGGGGCUCCCAAUGCUUGGUCCCUGGGACUCUGCUCUUCUUCAUGGUGAGCCUCCUCAGAAAAGUUUUGACUGAUACUUCUACAACUACAAGGUGAUGGAUAGUAGAGGACGUGCUCACCCCCAGAUAAGGGACAGACUUUGCGGAUGAGAGAAGACUCUGAUGAACCAUCCCUGGGUGAACUGCCCAUCUUCUCUUGCAUAGUGGCUGGUCUCCCACUGCUGCCCAGUGGCUCUGACAUGGGCUAGGGGAGCAUUUGCAAACUCCCUGUCACCUAGAAAGGAAGCACCAUUGAGUCAUAAGUCACUGGGCCACCAAUGUGGACAAUCUGUGAUGUGUUUCAGAGUUUUGGAAUAUUUCAAAUUUAAAAGUUUUUGGAUUGGAGAUGCUCCACCUGUAUUGUAAUAGAAAUAUAUUGAACAAAAUACUUUGGAUUUGGAUGACGCACAAACUUGUGAAAACAAUGAUGUCCAAAAGCUUUCCCUAUUGAUAUUUAUUCCCUUUCUUGGGGAACUGCUCUCAUAUCACUCACUCAAGCAUGUCACUGGGAGCUGCCAAUCUGUGUAUUGCACCAGAGUUCACAGCUUAUAAAACAGCUUGGGCAAUCACAAACUCUAGUGGCCCUUUGGUUGUAGUUGAUUGGUCUAGGAAAAGUCAGAUGACCCAAGCCGAUCCAGUCAGAAAGUUUCCACACCUUUUUCCUUUAAAUUUUUAAAAAUUAAUUAAUUAAAAAUUAAUUAUGUAUAUAAAUUAUAAAUGGAUAUGUUAUCAUUGAAAAAAGUCAAAGAGAUGGGGAUGUAACUCAGUGGUAGAGCACUUGUCUAACAUGUACGAGGCCCCAGGUUCUAUUCCAAGCACCAAAAAAAAAAAUUAAAAGAGGGCUGGGGUUGUGGCUCAGUGAUAGAGCGCUUGCCUAACAUAUGUGGGGCCCUGGGUUUGAUCCUCAGCACCACAUAAAAAUAAAUAAAAUAAAGGUAUUGCGUCCAACUACAACUAAAACAAAAUAAAUAUUUUAAAAAAUUAAAAGAAAAUAAAAAUGAACCUGACAGUCUGCUUCAAUCCCAACCCCUUAAAUUUACCUGUUUGGAGGAAAUGAAGAUCUGUGAAUUCAGACCUUUCUCUGUGCAUUGCAUUCAUUUAGAAAGAUAUGUUUGCAAGCAGGAGGAGUGGCAUAGGCCUAUAAUCCUGGCUAUUCAGGAGACUGAGGCGGAGGAUCUCAAGUGCAAGACCAGCCUAUGCAACAAAAUGAGACCCUGUCUCAAAAUAAAAUACAAGUCUAAUUAUAUAGAUUAGUGGUAGAGCACUGGCCUAACACACACAAAGCUUUGAGUUCAAUCCCCAGCACUGUACAAAGAAAGAAAAGAAAAAUAUAUGUUGCAAGCACACAUAUAGAUAUAUCUAGUACUAUUUCAAGGUUUUGUUUUUGUUUUUGCUGAUGCUUGAGCAAGACCAUAUUGUAUGUAUCAUUCUACAAAUUACUUUUCUCAUUUACCAAGAUGUCUUAGGGGUUUAAGUUAGUAUAUAACUUCAUUCUUUUGAACAAUUUCCACAUUUUCAGAGUACAAAAUGUGCCAUGGCUUAAACAUGAACAUUUAGAUUAUUCCUAAUUUUUCCCUAUAAAUAAUACUUCAAGUAACAUCCUCCAGUAUGUUUCCUUAGUCUGGAUUUUGAGAAGUAGCAUUAGUAUCCACAUUUCCACAUUUAAAGUCAGAUUAGAUACUGCCACAUCAGAGGACAGCUGGGUCCUGAACCUGGUCAUUCCUUCCUUGCUGUAUCCAUAGUGAGCUUAUGUGAGCCAACACCUUCUCCUUUGGGGCUCAAGCUAAUAAGAGAUGUGUUUCUGUUACUUUCAGCCAAAAGACUGAAUUUCUGAUUAAAAUGUAUAGAUGAGGAUUGUUUCCAGAUUCACACAGAUUCUCUAGUUUUCUUUCAUCUCCUGUUCUCUAGUUUAGUCUCCUAAUUUACAUGUUCCUCCCCCAGGUGCUGUGUUCAGGGGGUUCUACUCACCCUGAGGUCCUUUUCUGGGAGAGAAGAGCAGAGCAAAAGAACAAAGCCACUGGGAACAACUGAUGGAAAGAGCAGUGUGCUGACUCUGAUGGAAUCUUCCUACAGGGAACAGAGUUUCAGAACCUGGUUUCUCUGUCUAGGCCUUGUCAGAGAUGGCCACAAGCAGGUCAAUGCCUGUUUUAAGGGGUGGCGGGGUGAGGAGUGGGGAGAGAAAGGGAAAGAAAAAGG
Molecule: long non-coding RNA, 9629 nt
Filed under: Marmota monax (woodchuck)
Lineage: Eukaryota; Metazoa; Chordata; Mammalia; Rodentia; Sciuridae
Source: RNAcentral